AGCUUUGCGCAGUGACAUUACCAUAGCUGAUGAGGUCCAUCCGAGGCGCGGUUAUUGCUGAUUGAAAACUUUUCCCAAUACCCCGCGAGACGACUUGAAACAUAGUCGGCUUUGCAAUUUUUGUGGGCCCUGCUUAGGG
This 139-nucleotide small nuclear RNA is filed under the name Nematostella vectensis (starlet sea anemone). Its description in RNAcentral is "U4 spliceosomal RNA". It matches the Rfam family "U4 spliceosomal RNA". Rfam says of the family: U4 small nuclear RNA (U4 snRNA) is a component of the major U2-dependent spliceosome. The structure of U4 snRNA from yeast and human has been reported. U4 snRNA presents a k-turn RNA motif in the 5p-SL related to recognition of Snu13 protein. Lineage: Eukaryota; Metazoa; Cnidaria; Anthozoa; Actiniaria; Edwardsiidae. The record is from Rfam by way of RNAcentral.